UACAGAGGUCUCAAGCGUUGUUCGGAUUCAUUGGGCGUCAAGGGUGCGUAGGCGGUGAGGUAAGUCAGGUGUGAAAUCCCGGGGCUCAACUCCGGAACUGCAUUUGAUACUGCCUUGCUAGAGUACUGGAGAGGAGAUUGGAAUUUACGGUGUAGCAGUGAAAUGCGUAGAUAUCGUAAGGAGGACCAGUGGCGAAGGCGAAUCUCUGGACAGUUACUGACGCUGAGGCACGAAGGCCAGGGGAGCAAACGGG
RNAcentral lists this ribosomal RNA (253 nucleotides) under uncultured bacterium. RNAcentral's name for it is "partial 16S ribosomal RNA". It matches the Rfam family "Bacterial small subunit ribosomal RNA", at positions 524 to 776 of the family's 1533-position model. The record is from RNAcentral.